UGGUGCGAUCAUACCAGCACUAAUGCACCGGGAACUCCGAAGUUAAGCGUGCUGGUGCGAGAGUAGUACUAGGAUGGGUGACCUCCUGGGAAGACCUCGUGUUUUAAUAU
Molecule: ribosomal RNA, 110 nt
Organism: Arabis alpina (gray rockcress)
Lineage: Eukaryota; Viridiplantae; Streptophyta; Magnoliopsida; Brassicales; Brassicaceae
Source: Rfam